GAGCGAUCAAGUGCCUUAAGAGCAUUCGGUGGAUGCCUUGGCGCUGAGAGGCGAUGAAGGACGUGGUACGCUGCGAUAAGCCUUGGGGAGCUGCGAACGAGCUUUGAUCCAGGGAUUUCCGAAUGGGGAAACCCACCUUCGACCUUCCGUAUUGCGGGACCAGGCGCGAGCCUGGUUCCUCAAUACGGUUGGUCACAUGAAGGUAUCAAAUCCUGAAUACAUAGGGG
Molecule: ribosomal RNA, 227 nt
Filed under: Escherichia coli
Lineage: Bacteria; Pseudomonadati; Pseudomonadota; Gammaproteobacteria; Enterobacterales; Enterobacteriaceae
Description: partial 23S ribosomal RNA
Rfam family: Bacterial large subunit ribosomal RNA
Source: RNAcentral